RNAcentral lists this ribosomal RNA (537 nucleotides) under Enterococcus faecalis. RNAcentral describes it as "bacterial SSU rRNA". It matches the Rfam family "Bacterial small subunit ribosomal RNA", at positions 244 to 773 of the family's 1533-position model. The record is from RNAcentral. Lineage: Bacteria; Bacillati; Bacillota; Bacilli; Lactobacillales; Enterococcaceae.
GCUAGUUGGUGAGGUAACGGCUCACCAAGGCCACGAUGCAUAGCCGACCUGAGAGGGUGAUCGGCCACACUGGGACUGAGACACGGCCCAGACUCCUACGGGAGGCAGCAGUAGGGAAUCUUCGGCAAUGGACGAAAGUCUGACCGAGCAACGCCGCGUGAGUGAAGAAGGUUUUCGGAUCGUAAAACUCUGUUGUUAGAGAAGAACAAGGACGUUAGUAACUGAACGUCCCCUGACGGUAUCUAACCAGAAAGCCACGGCUAACUACGUGCCAGCAGCCGCGGUAAUACGUAGGUGGCAAGCGUUGUCCGGAUUUAUUGGGCGUAAAGCGAGCGCAGGCGGUUUCUUAAGUCUGAUGUGAAAGCCCCCGGCUCAACCGGGGAGGGUCAUUGGAAACUGGGAGACUUGAGUGCAGAAGAGGAGAGUGGAAUUCCAUGUGUAGCGGUGAAAUGCGUAGAUAUAUGGAGGAACACCAGUGGCGAAGGCGGCUCUCUGGUCUGUAACUGACGCUGAGGCUCGAAAGCGUGGGGAGCAAAC